RNAcentral lists this ribosomal RNA (440 nucleotides) under uncultured bacterium. RNAcentral describes it as "bacterial SSU rRNA". It matches the Rfam family "Bacterial small subunit ribosomal RNA", at positions 338 to 795 of the family's 1533-position model. The record is from RNAcentral.
CCUACGGGAGGCAGCAGUGGGGAAUAUUGGACAAUGGGGGAAACCCUGAUCCAGCAAUGCCGCGUGAGUGAUGAAGGCCUUAGGGUUGUAAAGCUCUUUUACCCGGGAUGAUAAUGACAGUACCGGGAGAAUAAGCUCCGGCUAACUCCGUGCCAGCAGCCGCGGUAAUACGGAGGGAGCUAGCGUUGUUCGGAAUUACUGGGCGUAAAGCGCACGUAGGCGGCUAUUCAAGUCAGAGGUGAAAGCCCGGGGCUCAACCCCGGAAUUGCCUUUGAAACUAGAUAGCUAGAAUCUGGGAGAGGUGAGUGGAAUUCCGAGUGUAGAGGUGAAAUUCGUAGAUAUUCGGAAGAACACCAGUGGCGAAGGCGGCUCACUGGACCAGAAUUGACGCUGAGGUGCGAAAGCGUGGGGAGCAAACAGGAUUAGAUACCCUUGUAGUC